RNAcentral lists this ribosomal RNA (446 nucleotides) under uncultured bacterium. Its description in RNAcentral is "bacterial SSU rRNA". It matches the Rfam family "Bacterial small subunit ribosomal RNA", at positions 29 to 473 of the family's 1533-position model. The record is from RNAcentral.
AUUGAACGCUGGCGGCAUGCUUUACACAUGCAAGUCGAGCGGCAGCGCGGGGGCAACCCUGGCGGCGAGCGGCGAACGGGUGAGUAAUGCAUCGGAACGUAUCCUGUAGUGGGGAAUAACUCACCGAAAGGUGAGCUAAUACCGCAUAAGCUCUGAGGAGGAAAGCGGGGGACCGAAAGGCCUCGCGCUGCAGGAGCGGCCGAUGUCCGAUUGGCUAGUUGGUGAGGUAAAGGCCCACCAAGGCGACGAUCGGUAGCUGGUCUGAGAGGAUGAUCAGCCACACUGGGACUGAGACACGGCCCAGACUCCUACGGGAGGCAGCAGUGGGGAAUUUUGGACAAUGGGGGAAACCCUGAUCCAGCCAUGCCGCGUGAGUGAAGAAGGCCUUCGGUUGUAAAGCUCUUUCGGACGGAACGAAAUUGCUUGGACUAAUACUCUGAGUAGAU